Molecule: long non-coding RNA, 259 nt
Filed under: Nicotiana tabacum (common tobacco)
Lineage: Eukaryota; Viridiplantae; Streptophyta; Magnoliopsida; Solanales; Solanaceae
Description: long non-coding RNA (NTAB_LNC005581)
Source: RNAcentral
GUUUUAAACCCUAAACUGAACUUUUUCCAUUCAGUCAGCAUUAGGGUUUUAAACCCUAAACUGAACUUUUUCCAUUCAGUCAGCAUUAGGGUUUUAAAACCCUAAACUGAACUUUUUCCAUUCAGUCAGCAUUAGGGUUUUAAACCCUAAACUGAACUUUUUCCUUUAAACAGCAUUAGGGUUUUAAACCAUAAACUGAACUUUUUCCUUUAGUCAGCAUUAGGGUUUCAAUCCUAAACUGAACUUUUCCCCAGUUGGU